RNAcentral lists this unclassified non-coding RNA (256 nucleotides) under uncultured fungus. RNAcentral describes it as "partial contains 5.8S ribosomal RNA, internal transcribed spacer 2, and large subunit ribosomal RNA". The record is from RNAcentral. Lineage: Eukaryota; Fungi.
AACGCACAUUGCGCCCCUUGGUAUUCCGGGGGGCAUGCCUGUUCGAGCGUCAUUGCAACCCUCAAGCUUGGCUUGGUAUUGGGCCCUCGCCUCCCCCCGCCCGGGGGAGGCGUGCCCGCAAAUUAGUGGCGGUCCAGGGAGACUUCAAGCGCAGUAAUACUAUCCGCUUGCGAGAUCUCGCCUGCGGCCCGGCCGUGAAACCCCCCAUUUUCCAAUGAUUGACCUCGGAUCAGGUAGGGAUACCCGCUGAACUUAA